RNAcentral lists this ribosomal RNA (301 nucleotides) under uncultured bacterium. RNAcentral's name for it is "partial 16S ribosomal RNA". It matches the Rfam family "Bacterial small subunit ribosomal RNA", at positions 509 to 807 of the family's 1533-position model. The record is from RNAcentral.
CAGCCGCCGCGGGAAUACGAAGGGGGCUAGCGUUGUUCGGAAUUACUGGGCGUAAAGCGCACGUAGGCGGAUAUUUAAGUCAGGGGUGAAAUCCCAGAGCUCAACUCUGGAACUGCCUUUGAUACUGGGUAUCUUGAGUAUGGAAGAGGUGAGUGGAAUACCGAGUGUAGAGGUGAAAUUCGUAGAUAUUCGGAGGAACACCAGUGGCGAAGGCGGCUCACUGGUCCAUUACUGACGCUGAGGUGCGAAAGCGUGGGGAGCAAACAGGAUUAGAUACCCGCGUAGUCCCUGUCUCUUAUAC